Molecule: ribosomal RNA, 1484 nt
Filed under: uncultured organism
Description: bacterial SSU rRNA
Rfam family: Bacterial small subunit ribosomal RNA
Source: RNAcentral
AGAGUUUGAUCCUGGCUCAGAACGAACGCUGGCGGCGUGCUUCAUACAUGCAAGUCGAGCGAGAAAGUUCCCUUCGGGGAACGAGUAAAGCGGCAAACGGGUGAGUAACACGUGGGAAACCUGCCCUUCGGCGGGGGAUAAGCUCUCGAAAGAGGGUCUAAUACCGCAUAACAUCGGAAAUUCGCAUGUUUUUCCGAUCAAAGCAGCAAUGCACCGGAGGAUGGUCCCGCGCCUGAUUAGCUUGUUGGCGGGGUAACGGCCCACCAAGGCAACGAUCAGUAGCCGGCCUGAGAGGGUGAUCGGCCACACUGGGACUGAGAUACGGCCCAGACUCCUACGGGAGGCAGCAGUAGGGAAUAUUGCGCAAUGGCCGCAAGGCUGACGCAGCAACGCCGCGUGGAUGAUGAAGCUUUUCGGAGUGUAAAAUCCUUUUUGUGGGGAAGAACGCCUUCGGGUUGACGGUACCCUCAGAAUAAGUCCCGGCCAACUCCGUGCCAGCAGCCGCGGUAACACGGGGGGGACAAGCGUUGUUCGGAUUCACUGGGCGUAAAGCGCUCGUAGGCGGUCUUGCAAGUUGAAUGUGAAAACCGAAGGCUCAACCUUCGGCCUGCAUCCAAAACUGCAAGUCUAGAGUACUGGAGAGGAUGGCGGAAUUCCUGGUGUAGCGGUGAAAUGCGUAGAUAUCAGGAGGAACACCGGCGGCGAAGGCGGCCAUCUGGACAGAUACUGACGCUGAGGAGCGAAGGCCGGGGUAGCAAACAGGAUUAGAUACCCUGGUAGUCCCGGCGGUAAACGAUGGGCACUAGGUGUUGGCGGUAUCGACCCCGCCAGUGCCGCAGCAAACGCAUUAAGUGCCCCGCCUGGGGAGUACGGUCGCAAGAUUGAAACUCAAAGGAAUUGACGGGGGCCCGCACAAGCGGUGGAGUAUGUGGUUUAAUUCGACGCAACGCGAAGAACCUUACCUGGACUUGACAUAUGCUGGAAAGUCUCAGAGAUGAGACCUCCUCCUCGGAGGCCGGUAUACAGGUGCUGCAUGGCUGUCGUCAGCUCGUGCCGUGAGGUGUUGGGUUAAGUCCCGCAACGAGCGCAACCCCUGUUCUUAGUUGCCAUCAGGUUAAGCUGGGAACUCUAAGGAGACUGCCGGUGACAAGCCGGAGGAAGGUGGGGAUGACGUCAAGUCCUCAUGGCCCUUACGUCCAGGGCUACACACGUACUACAAUGGCCGGUAUAGAGGGCAGCAAGCCCGCGAGGUGGAGCUAAUCCCUAAACCCGGCCUCAGUUCAGAUUGGAGUCUGCAACUCGACUCCAUGAAGGAGGAAUCGCUAGUAAUCGCAGAUCAGCAGGCUGCGGUGAAUACGUUCCCGGGCCUUGUACACACCGCCCGUCAAGCCAUGGGAGUGGGGGGUACCCGAAGUCGCCGAUCUAACCUUCGGGAUGACGGCGCCUAAGGUAAAACCCACGACUGGGGCUAAGUCGUAACAAGG